UGGGGGAUAUUGCACAAUGGGCGAAAGCCUGAUGCAGCGACGCCGCGUGGGGGAUGAAGGCCUUCGGGUUGUAAACUUCUUUUGCUCUGAACAAGGCGCACCAUGGGGUGUGUUGAGUGUAGGGGUUGAUUAGCGCCGGCUAACUACGUGCCAGCAGCCGCGGUAAUACGUAGGGCGCGAGCGUUGUCCGGAAUUAUUGGGCGUAAAGGGCUUGUAGGUGGCUGGUUGCGUCUGUCGUGAAAGCUCAUGGCUUAACUGUGGGUUUGCGGUGGGUACGGGCUGGCUUGAGUGCAGUAGGGGAGGCUGGAAUUCCUGGUGUAGCGGUGGAAUGCGCAGAUAUCAGGAGGAAUAGCGGUGGCGAAGGCGGGUCUCUGGGCUGUUACUGACACUGAGGAGCGAAAGCAUGGGGAGCGAACAGG
Molecule: ribosomal RNA, 419 nt
Filed under: bacterium
Lineage: Bacteria
Description: partial 16S ribosomal RNA
Rfam family: Bacterial small subunit ribosomal RNA
Source: RNAcentral